GUGUAUUGCGGCGUGCUUACCAUGCAAGUCGAACGAUGAAGCUCUAGCUUGCUAGAGUGGAUUAGUGGCGCACGGGUGAGUAAUGUAUAGCUAAUGUGCCCCUUAGAGGGGGAUAACAGUUGGAAACGACUGCUAAUACCCCAUACUCCUUCUUCCUAUAAGAGAAGUUGGGAAAGUUUUUUCGCUAAGGGAUCGGGCUAUAUGGUAUCAGCUUGUUGGUGAGGUAAUGGCUCACCAAGGCUAUGACGCCUAUCUGGUCUGAGAGGAUGAUCAGACACACUGGAACUGAGACACGGUCCAGACUCCUACGGGAGGCAGCAGUGGGGAAUAUUACACAAUGGAGGAAACUCUGAUGUAGCAACGCCGCGUGGAGGAUGACACAUUUCGGUGCGUAAACUCCUUUUAUAUGGGAAGAUAAUGACGGUACCAUAUGAAUAAGCACCGGCUAACUCCGUGCCAGCAGCCGCGGUAAUACGGAGGGUGCAAGCGUUACUCGGAAUCACUGGGCGUAAAGCGCGCGCAGGCGGUCUUUUAAGUUGGAUGUGAAAUCCUAUGGCUCAACCAUAGAACUGCAUCCAAAACUGAAAGACUAGAGUCUGGGAGGGGAAGAUGGAAUUAGUGGUGUAGGGGUAAAAUCCGUAGAGAUCACUAGGAAUACCAAAAGCGAAGGCGAUCUUCUGGAACAGUACUGACGCUGAGGCGCGAAAGCGUGGGGAGCAAACAGGAUUAGAUACCCUGGUAGUCCACGCCCUAAACUAUGAAUGUUAGUCGUCGGGGGGCUUGUCUUCUCGGUGAUGCAGCUAACGCAUUAAACAUUCCGCCUGGGGAGUACGGUCGCAAGAUUAAAACUCAAAGGAAUAGACGGGGACCCGCACAAGUGGUGGAGCAUGUGGUUUAAUUCGAAGAUACGCGAAGAACCUUACCUGGGCCUUGACAUUGAUAGAAUCUGCUAGAGAUAGCGGAGUGCCCUUCGGGGAGCUUGAAAACAGGUGCUGCACGGCUGUCGUCAGCUCGUGUCGUGAGAUGUUGGGUAAGUCCCGCAACGAGCGCACCCUCGUCACUAGUUACUAACGGUUCGGCGAGACUCUAGUGAGACUGCUUCGUAAGGAGGAGAAGUGAGGACGACGUCAAGUCAUCAUGG
Molecule: ribosomal RNA, 1141 nt
Filed under: uncultured bacterium
Lineage: Bacteria
Description: bacterial SSU rRNA
Rfam family: Bacterial small subunit ribosomal RNA
Source: RNAcentral